Molecule: long non-coding RNA, 1290 nt
Organism: Nyctereutes procyonoides (raccoon dog)
Lineage: Eukaryota; Metazoa; Chordata; Mammalia; Carnivora; Canidae
Exons: 3
Source: RefSeq, a predicted model, not a curated record
CCUCAAUCUGCCCGGAGAAGUCACGACAGGAGAGUGGUGAUUGGUGCAAGCAACAUGGGAUGAGGAGACGAGGGAGAUUAUGCUCCUGAUUUCCUCACCUGGACACCAGGACCCAGGCGAGGGAAUAAUACAUGCAGGGCAAUGGAAUCCACUUCUACUGAGCUCCCUUGAGCAGAAGUUAUUGAUUGGACCCAGAGCUCACCAAUUUGCAAAUCAUUUCUAGGAAUCCCCCCUCUGAGGACCAUACUAUCCAGCUCUCCCCCAUCUUUUUAACGUCCUUACUCUCCCCUGAUUCACUUUGCAACACAUUACUACUGAAAGUUCUUUGGCAAUUGUCACUUAGAUGCUAAAUCCAAAAGGUUUCCUAUUUUAACUUGGGGGAUUCUGUUGACCCCUUGUUUCUUGACAGAUUCUCCAGAAAUUAUUUUUUUCUGUGUCUUCUCAUACCUGUCUGGCCAUUCUUUCUUGAAAGUUCUUCCUCUCCCCAUUUCUUAAAUAUGAAUAUGCCUCGGGCUUCUUCCUCAGCCAUCUUACCUUCUCGUCUGCCUUGCUCUCCCAAUGAUUUGAAUCACUACCACCCAUGUGUCAGUGACCUGACAACUCACAGAUCCACACCACCAGGCUCUCUCCUGACCUUUAAAUCUGUGUGUGUGUCCAACAGGCAGUUGGACAUCACUAACUCAGUGUUUCCCUGAAACUCCAAUUCCACAUGCCUGAAAGAGUAGGUUCUUUCCUGGCACCCAAGCAAAAGCCUGAAAAUCAUGUCAACCCUUCAAUUUCAAUAACCACUUUUUAACCAGUCACUGAGCAUUGUUAAUUCUUUUUGUUAUCUCUUAUACCUCUCUUCUCUCCAUUUUCACUCUAAUUUCUCUAAUUUGAAAUUUCAUUUUCCUUUGCCUAACAUAUUAGCUUUUCAUUUUGAUAAUUUUCAAAUAUACAUAGAGUAUAAUGAACCCUGAUAUAUCAUCUGGAUUCAAUAAUUAUUAACUUUCGGUCAGAGUUACUUCAUCUAUUAUUUCUACAGUGUUUUAGAGCAAAUCUAGACAUCAUGACAUCUCACCCAUUAAACUCUUCGGUACACUGCUUUAUUAUGCCAGAGUAACAGUAUCACACGUAACAAAAUGCACAAGAAUACCUGAAUAUUAUCUAAGACUCUAUUUGUCUUCCACAUUUUCUCUUUACAGUUGAGGCUUAGCCAUAUAGAUAGCACAUAGAACUUAUUUCUUCUGAAAGGGCCUAUUGAAGUCUCAGGUAAGUUAGACUGUACUAAAGGACAGGCUUUUUUUUUUU